AGAUUAUUUGUGUUCUAUCGGUAUUUCUUAGACGUAUUAGCAGCUAAAGGUACUACUUUUCCGAUAGCCGUAGAUAAAGUACAUACAGGUUGGGAUAGAGCCUACAUUUAGGUUGUUGGUUAGUGUUGCAGAUUUUUACAAGUUUUUAAGCUAGAAGUCCCAUCUAUUAGAAACUUUGGUCGGGUACAUGGAAUUGGUGUUCAUCCCAAGAUCGCUCUAUUUAUAUGGAAAAUAGCAUGCAAUUGACUUCUAUAUCAUGGCAUUUUAUACUAGCACGGUCUCUAUAUGCCAAUUAUUAUGACUUAUGCCCU
RNAcentral lists this long non-coding RNA (311 nucleotides) under Elaeis guineensis (African oil palm). Its description in RNAcentral is "long non-coding RNA (EGUI_LNC003691)". The record is from RNAcentral. Lineage: Eukaryota; Viridiplantae; Streptophyta; Magnoliopsida; Arecales; Arecaceae.